RNAcentral lists this long non-coding RNA (633 nucleotides) under Mus spicilegus (steppe mouse). Its description in RNAcentral is "lncRNA (ENSMSIG00000019535.1)". The record is from RNAcentral. Lineage: Eukaryota; Metazoa; Chordata; Mammalia; Rodentia; Muridae.
GAUGACGUAUAAGUAUGUGGAUGUUAUCAAUUGGCUCCGCAGAGCGAAAAUAGACAGAUGGGCGGAGAAAGAGGCGUGAAUCAGCAGACACUUCCAGGGAACCAAACAGUAACUGGGUGAGUUUGGAUUCCACUUCUGCCUUUUAUUUUCCAACUGGGACCUCAAACAAGUCACUUGACCUGGGUUGAGUUUCCCCAUGUGUUUUUUAAUUUUUUUCCAAGACAGGAUUUCACUGGCUGUCCUGGAACUCUCUGUAGAUAGGCUGGCCUUGAACUCAAGAGCUCCACCUGCCUCUGCCUCCUAAGUGCUGGAAUUAAAGAUGUGUGCGGUUGCUGCCGCCACCACCUGGCUGAGUCUCCUCAGAGUGGAGCUGUCAGGAAGCCUGUGGCACCUCCCCUCUCUUAGCCACAGCCAACUGUUCCGUGACAAGAGCCUCUUAUAAGUCAUCUGGACUCACACCCUGGGCUAGAAGAUUCAAGACCUUCUGGCAGGUGAGGGAAACCGCAGGUACACAAGUGUAAGUUGUGAGCUGCCUGCUGCUGGUGGAGGAGGUAAGUCUCCUCCCUGUGGAGGGCUGAUGUCCACUAAAGGACCUAGGGCUUUGACACAAUAAAGGAAAGUGCUCAAAGGCCA